GCCUGAGCUGCUGACUGCUGCCGCCCCGGCCGAUGCCGGCCGUCCCAGGCGCCGCCGCUCUCCGGCGAGGCUCUGCCUCAACCUCAAAUGGAAGGAGAACUCGCAGGUGCUCUACAACCUCGUCAACUCCACCCACUGGAGUUGCUCUCGCUCACCAUCCAGUGGCUUCCGUCGGAGUCCCUGGCCGCCACCCGCUCCCACGAGAUCGUACUCGGUACCCACACCGACGACUCCCCCAACCACUUUAUGCUCGUGGUAGCCGUCCUUCCGCUUCCGGUACUGGAUGCAUAACGGCUGUUUGAGAUAUGAAACCAUCAAGAAAAUCUCAGCAAUGCUCAAGAUCGAAUUGCAGAUGCAACACAAAUCUUUAGACUGUUUACUGCAGAUAACAUGAAGUUUCGAGCAUUUUAUUAGUGAGAUCAUCUCACUCCACUGAACAUUUUAGAUCGACUUGCAGAAGCUGAAGCUUCAAUCUGUUUAAAUGAGUUUCAGACUUUUUAGAAGAGCUGAAACAUCUAUCAUUUGGUAACCUGCUUGAUGCACGUGUAUGCUGAAACAAGAACUGAAUCCUGCAUGCUAUUUAU
Long non-coding RNA from Lolium perenne, 584 nucleotides. RefSeq lists it as uncharacterized. The record is from RefSeq and is a predicted model, not a curated record. Lineage: Eukaryota; Viridiplantae; Streptophyta; Magnoliopsida; Poales; Poaceae.